Molecule: ribosomal RNA, 253 nt
Filed under: uncultured bacterium
Lineage: Bacteria
Description: partial 16S ribosomal RNA
Rfam family: Bacterial small subunit ribosomal RNA
Source: RNAcentral
GACAGAGGUGGCAAGCGUUGUUCGGAUUCAUUGGGCGUAAAGAGCGUGUAGGCGGCCCGGUAAGUCCGCUGUGAAAGUCGGGGGCUCAACCCUCGAAUGCCGGUGGAUACUGUCGGGCUAGAGUGCGGAAGAGGCGAGUGGAAUUCCUGGUGUAGCGGUGAAAUGCGCAGAUAUCAGGAGGAACACCAAUUGCGAAGGCAGCUCGCUGGGACGUAACUGACGCUGAGACGCGGAAGCGUGGGGAGCAAACAGG